UACGAAGGGGGCUAGCGUUGCUCGGAAUCACUGGGCGUAAAGGGUGCGUAGGCGGGUCUUUUAAGUCAGGGGUGAAAUCCUGGAGCUCAACUCCAGAACUGCCUUUGAUACUGAAGAUCUUGAGUUCGGGAGAGGUGAGUGGAACUGCGAGUGUAGAGGUGAAAUUCGUAGAUAUUCGCAAGAACACCAGUGGCGAAGGCGGCUCACUGGCCCGAUACUGACGCUGAGGUGCGAAAGCGUGGGGAGCAAACAGG
RNAcentral lists this ribosomal RNA (254 nucleotides) under uncultured bacterium. RNAcentral's name for it is "partial 16S ribosomal RNA". It matches the Rfam family "Bacterial small subunit ribosomal RNA", at positions 524 to 776 of the family's 1533-position model. The record is from RNAcentral.